Molecule: ribosomal RNA, 480 nt
Filed under: uncultured bacterium
Lineage: Bacteria
Description: partial 16S ribosomal RNA
Rfam family: Bacterial small subunit ribosomal RNA
Source: RNAcentral
GACGAACGCUGGCGGCGUGCUUAACACAUGCAAGUCGAACGAUGAAGAAAAGAAUCGAAGCUUCGGCAGAAAUUCAUUUCGGAUUAGUGGCAGACGGGUGAGUAACGCGUGAGCAACCUACCUCUUACAAAGGGAUAGCCUCGGGAAACCGGGAUUAAUACCAUAUAACAUUGUGACGAAGCAUUUCGAUGCAAUCAAAGCUACGGCGGUAAGAGAUGGGCUCGCGUCCCAUUAACCGGAUGGUGAGGUAACGGCUCACCAUAGUGACGAUGGGUAACCGGCCUGAGAGGGUGAACGGUCACACUGGAACUGAGGCACGGUCCAGACUCCUACGGGAGGCAGCAGUGGGGAAUAUUGCACAAUGGAGGGAACUCUGAUGCAGCGACGCCGCGUGAGUGAUGAAGGAAUUCGUUUCGUAAAACUCUGUUCUAUGGGAAGAAAAGGACUGUACCAUAGGAGAAAGCUCCGGCUAAAUACGUG